CUCCAGACCUGAUUUAAAGAGAUAGGCUCCUCGGAAGGGAGCGUUCCUUGCCUUGGCAUGAAUUAUUCAGGCUGGAGAGGCUGACACUUGAUCCCCAGGCCACUCUGGUAUCAGCAGAGCUGGUUGGGAUAGAAGCUCCCCCAUCCACCCCCCAUAGGAAUCAGUUAGUCUUUCUCCUAAAUUAGGGACAUUUGUUGGAUUGACUUCUUCCCUGAGGUUAUAUUUAACAGAUUGACCAACAGAUCAAUAGCACUUAAGGAGAAGAGGCCGACCCUGCGGUGGCCUGGGUCCCAGGCAAAGACCAACAACAUCAAGGACCAGCGUUCCUGAUCUGUCCAUGGUGCUGAAUGUCUUUAUCCUUCUUGCCACUGCCUGCCUCAGAAUGGCUACUUUCAAAAGGGAAAAUAUCCCUUAUGGCCAGAGUCCUCAGCUGGGAUUGAAGAAAUAGGAAGAGAGAGAAGAGCCCUAGACCCUUUGCUGUCAGAGAGAUGGACCCCAGAUGAAGGUGCUAGCCCUUUCUUGACCUUGGGGACUUCCCCAUAUUGAAAGGAGAUGGGAAGUUAGCCACCACAGCAAGAGUACCCUUAUGGAGAGGCUCGCAUAAAAAACUAAACCCUUUGACCAACUGCCAGCAAAAAAUGGAGGCCUGACUACAACCACAGAGUGAGCCUGGAAGUGGAUCCCUGUUAAGCCUUCUGAUGACUGCAGCCCUGUCUGACACUUGACUGCAACCUCAUGAGAGAUCCUGAGCCACAACCUCCCAGUCAGUCCACUUCUGGAUUCUCAAUCCACAGAAAUUGUGUGAGAUAAUAAAUAUGUGUUAUUUUAAGCUGUUAUAUUUAAGUUUUGGGGUAGUUUGUUACUUGGUAGUAGUUAACUACUGUAGUGCUAUAUUGUCACGUUACAUCCUCACAACAACCCUGAAAGGUAGAGUUUGUGUCUUCCAUUGUGUGUGUGUGU
This is a long non-coding RNA of Hyaena hyaena (striped hyena), 960 nucleotides long. RefSeq lists it as uncharacterized. The record is from RefSeq and is a predicted model, not a curated record. NCBI's taxonomy places the organism in Eukaryota, Metazoa, Chordata, Mammalia, Carnivora, Hyaenidae. The transcript has 4 exons.